RNAcentral lists this transfer RNA (75 nucleotides) under Candidatus Omnitrophota bacterium. RNAcentral describes it as "Candidatus Omnitrophica bacterium (marine metagenome) tRNA-Phe". It matches the Rfam family "tRNA". Rfam says of the family: Transfer RNA (tRNA) molecules are approximately 80 nucleotides in length. Their secondary structure includes four short double-helical elements and three loops (D, anti-codon, and T loops). Further hydrogen bonds mediate the characteristic L-shaped molecular structure. tRNAs have two regions of fundamental functional importance: the anti-codon, which is responsible for specific mRNA codon recognition, and the 3' end, to which the tRNAs corresponding amino acid is attached (by aminoacyl-tRNA synthetases). tRNAs cope with the degeneracy of the genetic code in two manners: having more than one tRNA (with a specific anti-codon) for a particular amino acid; and 'wobble' base-pairing, i.e. permitting non-standard base-pairing at the 3rd anti-codon position. The record is from RNAcentral. Lineage: Bacteria; Pseudomonadati; Candidatus Omnitrophota.
GCCGAGGUAGCUCAGUGGUAGAGCGCGGCCCUGAAAAGGCCGGCGUGGGGGGUCCGAUUCCCUUCCUCGGCACCA